GGUUCUAUGGUGUAGUUGGUUAGCACUCAGGACUUUGAAUCGUGCGACUCGGGUUCGAAUCCCGAUAGAACCU
Perkinsus marinus ATCC 50983 is the source of this 73-nucleotide non-coding RNA. The record is from Rfam. Lineage: Eukaryota; Perkinsozoa; Perkinsida; Perkinsidae.